Molecule: long non-coding RNA, 1342 nt
Filed under: Capsicum annuum
Lineage: Eukaryota; Viridiplantae; Streptophyta; Magnoliopsida; Solanales; Solanaceae
Description: long non-coding RNA (CANN_LNC018230)
Source: RNAcentral
AUAAACCACACAAAACACAUAAAACGAUCAAUAAAACAAACAAAACAAACGAAUCCCAAAAUAUAGUAUACAGUCCAAUUAUUACAACCCGAAAUGAAAAAGGUACUGAAAAGUAAACCUACGCUAACCUACACCAAACUACGCUCCAAUGCCUUACCCAAUACUUUGGGCCUUCAUCACGGGCAUCCUCCGAGUACAUGAUAUGUCGGGGCAUUCCCUGGUGAAUAAAUACAAUUCCUUUAGGGCAUUCCCCGGCAAAUGAAUACAAUGUCAAUUUUAUGCGAUAAACCAGAAAAACAUCCAACAAAUAUUUCAAACACUCCAACAAUUUCACUAAUUCUAAAUUUGCCUACCCGAGCCUACUAUUUGCCCCCGCUCAACGACAUAUAACGUUCAAAAUCAACAAUGAAUCAAAAUACCAUAAUAUUCACUUUUAUCAAUUUUUGAUUCCCGACCCAAAUCCAUUCUAAACAUCAAUAAAGUGUCAUUUCAAUACACAAUCCAUUAUCACAAAAUGAAUCACAUAAUCGUAACAACAACAAUUUAUAUCAUGUUCUGAAUAGAAUAAAUAAUGAAAUAAAAAGAUGAAGGAAGUAGAAUUGGACCUCAAUUUGAUGAUUUUAUUUCGAUUAAACCUAGAUGGACCAAAACUCACAAAGCCACGGAACCUCAACAAAUCCACCUUCACGGUCAACUUUCAUGUCUAGGCCUCCUCGGACUGUUUGAAGAAGGUAAGGAAACAAGACAGUUUUUUUCUUUUUUUGAUCGAUUUUAGAAGAUGAUUCAACCGGAGUGACAAACUCCGAUAGGCUUGAAACAGUGACGAGAAAAGAGGGUUUUGACAUAUUGUUGAAAUUUCCAGUGAAAUUGGAUGGAAACAAACCGAAUCUCGAUGAAUUUUGGACGGUUGAUGAUGUUCUCCGGCGAGAAUCGAUUGGAACAACAACAACGAUAACUAGCGGUGUUCACCGAUUGGCGAUUCCGGUGAGAAUUCGUCGGAAUAACUGUUCCUCUCUAAUUUUUCUCUUCUUUUUCAGCUCCCGCAUUUUACUCCCUCUCUCGCGCGUGUUUUCUCUCCUCUCUCAUGCUCAAAUCUCUCUCUAUAUAGGGUUUUCUCUCCAUUCAUGGUGGGUCUUUGUGUUUUUUGUGUGAAUCAGUGUAUUUUGUGUAUUUUAUGGAAGAAUCCCAUGUGGUCUGUGCGUGUAUGGAGUUUUUGUUGUGCCUCCGUGAAGAAGAAAGAGUUCCAAAAAUGGAAAAAAAAGAAAGAAAAAAAAACUGUGCGUGAGAAUGUCCCCCUUUUGCUUGUGUGAUGGAAAGAUAUAUUGUUCAAGAAAAGAAAAUA